UUCCAGACUCCUACGGGAGGCAGCAGUGAGGAAUAUUGGUCAAUGGCCGAGAGGCUGAACCAGCCAAGUCGCGUGAGGGAUGACGGCCCUACGGGUUGUAAACCUCUUUUGUCGGGGAGCAAAGAGAGUCACGUGUGGCUCAUUGAGAGUACCCGGAGAAAAAGCAUCGGCUAACUCCGUGCCAGCAGCCGCGGUAAUACGGAGGAUGCGAGCGUUAUCCGGAUUUAUUGGGUUUAAAGGGUGCGUAGGCGGAUCUUUAAGUCAGUGGUAAAAUGGGGGGGCCCACCCCCUUCCCGCCAUUGAAACUGGCGCUCUUGAGUGGAAGAGAAGUAUGCGGAAUGCGUGGUGUAGCGGUGAAAUGCAUAGAUAUCACGCAGAACCCCGAUUGCGAAGGCAGCAUGCCGGCUUCCGACUGACGCUGAAGCACGAAAGCGUGGGGAUCGAACAGGAUUAGAUACCCUGGUAG
Molecule: ribosomal RNA, 466 nt
Filed under: uncultured bacterium
Lineage: Bacteria
Description: bacterial SSU rRNA
Rfam family: Bacterial small subunit ribosomal RNA
Source: RNAcentral